Molecule: long non-coding RNA, 929 nt
Filed under: Equus caballus (horse)
Lineage: Eukaryota; Metazoa; Chordata; Mammalia; Perissodactyla; Equidae
Description: lncRNA (ENSECAG00000051349.1)
Source: RNAcentral
GAGGGGAACACCCAGAUUUCAAUCUCUAGUCCUUCCCUUGCUAGUUGGGUGACCUUGGUGCAGCUAUUAGAAAAUUUAAAAUCACGUAUGUGACACUCAUUACAUUGCUGCUGGUCGGUGCCGUUCUAAGGCCUCGGAACCCUCCGCUGGAUCCUCUCCAUCUUGCUGGCAUAUAAUGAGAAAGAGCGAGCAAGCGGAGGCCUGCAGGGCGGUUUCCAUAGUCCUUUGGCUCCCAGUCCCGAUGCCACACCCAACUGCAAACUGGGCCGGGAAAUAGACUUGGUGAGCAAGCAGCCGGCCUCCUGCGCAGGGAGUGCAGAAGGACAAGAUCACUGAUGAGCCGAGGUGGAGAUGCUGGCAGGCAAGGUGUGGGCAAGAGGGUCCAAAUGGGUUUGGAAAUUACCAUGAAUUUAGAAAGAGUGACAGGGAACAAAAAUCUUCAAGACCCCCAGGGUCUACAGUUGAUUCAGCAAAGAGGAAUAUUUAGAAAUAGAGUCUGAUAACACGUGCGUCAAAGCCAUGAGCUGUGGAAGAGAAAGUGGCAAGCAUCUUGAAACAGCAAUCAGGAGAAAUGAGGACACCUACCCACGCCGGGCCCAGCGCUCCAAGGAAAGCCGCUGUCUCAAGAAUAUCAAGGAGCGGAGGCUUCCCAGACCUCAACUCCUCGACUCCCGGCACAUGAACCCGCCUCAAACAAGAAGACGAGACAACGGCGCGGAGGACACCCACCUGCCAUCCUCCUAUCUCACCAUCCCCCACGCCUCGCUGCAAGCAGCCUCCCAAGGCCAAACGCAGGCUGGUGGGAAAACGGUAGCCUGCACAGCUACAUGCGCCCCCUCCCCUACCCAAAACCCCAAAUAAAAGUCCCUACCCAUUCCUCAUUGGGGAGCUAGCAGUUUUUGAGGCAUGAGCCCUUGCUUUGCUCCCUG